AUGUUGCAGUCUUCUUGUAUUCUAUCACCUUGCAAAUUCUUAGGGUGUUUUUGGUCAUUGUUUUUCACUUUUUACCUUGACAGGCAAAUUUCCUUAUGCCUUGUGCUUUUGGCGACAUCGAAAAAUGCUCUCAUACUUUACCUCCUCUAUUUAAAAAAAUAUGGCUCUUGGAUGGAUCUGGAUCACUUUGAAUGUUUGGUGGAUGACUGUGGUGUAAUUGUCCUUCCACUCCAUUCUGUCCCCGGCCUUCCCCAGACUAACUCCUAUCUCGAAUGCUGGGUUUCCCACAUACAUGCGUAUGCCUAAACACAGUUGCUUUUUUUUUUUUUUUUAAGUUUUUAUUUAUUUAUUCGACAGAGAUAGAGACAGCCAGUGAGAGAGGGAACACAAGCAGGGGGAGUGGGAGAGGAGGAAGCAGGCUCACAGUUGCUUUUGAACCCAGGGUAUGGUACUGAGAUUUUCUUCACUCAACAUCCUUCCUGAUUCAUCGACGGUAUGCACGUAGCCGGAGUUGAUGCGUUUUCAUGGUUGUGUGAUGUUACGCUGUAUAGCUUUGCAUUUGAUCCCCUUUCCUCAUACUGGCCUGAGUCGUUUCUAGGUUCUUGUGAUCAGGAAGUGCUGCUUGGGAGCACCUUUGGCCAUGCUUCCUGGGGUUUUCUCAUCUGAGCUUCAGAAUGAAAUUAUUGCUGGUUUAGCCCUAAGCCCAUGGUUGGACUCCCUUUAGUGAGAACAGCCUGGUGCUGAGCAGGCCUUUUGGAGUUGGGGGCUAUACGCCGUCUAGGCCAAGGCAUCUCUGAUCUUGCAGACCCCAAGUCAUGGCACUCAGGGACCCAAAGCCUCUGUAAUCGCAGGGUUGGCUGUCAUUCUUGGGAGCGUUUGAGUCAGGGCAAGUUCCAAAGGCUACACAGCUCUCUCAGUAAGCAGCUGAGUUAGGGGCUGAGCCUCAGGCCCUUCCCUGUACCUGCAGCUGGUCAGGAGUCUUGAACUCUGAGCCGGUCUGAAGGACUGAGUAGGGGACAGGGCGUACACCUGAGACCAACAGGACCCUUCUCAGUGUGCGGGUCCAAGGAGCCAGGCAGUGCUGGCCUGUUGCAAGGUUAAAUAAGAUCCCAUGGUGUACUUCUCAGUCUGAACUGAAGCUUCUGCCUUCAUAACCUAGCAGGUGACAGGGGCCAGCACCAAGCAGCCUGGAAGAAAGAGCCAGGCCAGAGAACCUUGAGCAAGCCCCUAACUCAGCCCUGAACCUAUUUCUACAUCUGUUAAAUUAUAACUUGUGAGAAGUUCUACUUGAAUCUCCAGACUCAGCUCUUGCAUCCCUUCUAUUUUAAGAUCUAUUUGAGAAAGAGCACAUGCACAGGAGCAGGGAGGGGGAGUGGCAGAGGAAGAGGGAGAGGGAAUCUCAAGCAGACUCCCAGCUGAGCGCAGAGCCCAAUGAUGGGCUCGAUCUCACGACCCUGAUAUCAUGACCUGAGCCGAAAUCAAGAGUUGGAUGCUUAACUAAGCCACCCAGGCACCACCCCCCUCCUGCACCACUAACUUUUUACUUCCCUGACCUCACUGCCCACUGUCCCUUACACUGGGCCAUGACUGUUAGUCUCCUGCACCAGACUGGGAGCCCCUCAAAAGCUGUGCCUGUGGCCCAGAGCUCAAAACAAGGCCUGGUGAAAGGGUAGGGGUUGGAGGGCAAGGCAUGGGCAUCUCUGCCACCACCUGGCCAAGACAGACGGUGCCUGUUGGCUGAGUGGUCCACAGCCAACAAGGAAACACUGCCCCCAAGAAAGCUUGGAGGGACCUCUUCAGUUCUAUGGGAGACACGGACUCCCCAAGUGUGCCUGCUGUGUAAGGUAGACAGUAAGGAGGGUUUGCUUAGCUCUCUUCACACCACAUGUGGCAAAGGGAAGGAAGGAUUCUGACGAAGGUACCUCCACUCCGGGCCCUAUGGCCAGAUACCCUGUGGUGGCUUCCCAGCCAAGCUCAACCCUGUGAAGUGACCUUGCUAGCCAGACCCAGGGGGUUCCCGAUUGUGCAGCCAGUGGGGCUCGUGGCAAAAUCCAGACAGUGUCCAUCUCAGCCAGGUCCAUAAAUGGAGCAAUGUAGGGGCUAGUGGAAUUGCAGCCCAAAGGCUAGGGAAAGGGUAAUAAAGCUGGAGACAUGAAACAGGCCCAACUCAGGACCCUCAGUGCCCAGAGAAGGAGAUCCUUCCACCCUCCCUGACCCCCAGGAGUCGCUGCCCGCUCCCGGGCACGAACUGCUACUGAAGGGGAGCUGGCACAUCCAGACACAUCUGGGCCUAGGCAGGAGAGGCUGCCCCAUGGGACGAUACAAGGUUGGCGCAGGGGCUCUUCUGCGGACGGACGAGCCCGUACGGACUGAGGUGGGACUCCAGGUUCUAAGCCCCAAGAACUGCCCACUUAAGGUGAAAGAUUACUCAGUCCCCACUUGCCACACAUGACUUUAUUUGUGAAGCCCUGGGCACAGCCCAGACACACAAAGAGCACAAAGGGGAAAGCACAGCUCCAGCGCAGUCCCCACCCUGUCCAGGUCCUUUUAAGAGCGCCCCGAGCUGCAGCUCAGGCUCCGUCGGCCCUGCCCCUGCCCCCUGGGCCGGAGAACAGGUUUGGGCCUGCCAAAGAGCCCCCUCCAGCUUGGCCCCCAGGCCAGUCAGACAUCUCAGCAGCAAGGGGCAGGCCCCACUGGAUCUGAAGCCAGCACCAUCUACCCAGCAAUCCCUGCUCCUAGACCCCCAGUGUCUGC
RNAcentral lists this long non-coding RNA (2754 nucleotides) under Ailuropoda melanoleuca (giant panda). RNAcentral's name for it is "lncRNA (ENSAMEG00000023845.1)". Lineage: Eukaryota; Metazoa; Chordata; Mammalia; Carnivora; Ursidae. The record is from RNAcentral.